GACGAACGCUGGCGGCGUGCUUAACACAUGCAAGUCGAACGGAAAGGCCCUGCUUUUGUUUGUUUCUCGAUUGGCGAACGGGUGAGUAACACGUGAGUAUCCUGUCCUUGACUUUGGGAUAACUUCAGGAAGCUGGGGCUCAUACCCGAUAGGAUCUUCUGCUGCAUGUGGUGGGUUGGAGAGAUUCGGCGUUUGGGGAUGGACUCGCGGCUUAUGAGCUUCAUGGUGGAGUAGUUGCGUACGAGGCCUACGACGGGUAGGCGGCAUGGGAGGGUGAACGGCCACAUUGGGACUGCGAGACGGCCCAGACGCCUACGGGAGGCAGCAGUCGGGAAUAUUGCAGAGUGGGCGGACGCCUGAUGCGGCAACGCCGCGUGCGGGAUGACGGCCUUCGGGUGAUAAACCGCUUUCGCAUGUGCCGAAGCGUGAGUGACGGUAAUGGGUCAAGAAGCACCGGCUAACUACGUG
This 468-nucleotide ribosomal RNA is filed under the name uncultured bacterium. RNAcentral's name for it is "partial 16S ribosomal RNA". It matches the Rfam family "Bacterial small subunit ribosomal RNA", at positions 28 to 507 of the family's 1533-position model. The record is from RNAcentral.